This 83-nucleotide ribosomal RNA is filed under the name Serratia marcescens. The record is from RNAcentral. Lineage: Bacteria; Pseudomonadati; Pseudomonadota; Gammaproteobacteria; Enterobacterales; Yersiniaceae.
CCUGGCGGCAAUAGCGCGGUGGUCCCACCUGACCCCAUGCCGAACUCAGAAGUGAAACGCCGUAGCGCCGAUGGUAGUGUGGG